ACCGUUUGUUGUCUUUGGGUGU
RNAcentral lists this non-coding RNA (22 nucleotides) under Arabidopsis thaliana (thale cress). The record is from RNAcentral. Lineage: Eukaryota; Viridiplantae; Streptophyta; Magnoliopsida; Brassicales; Brassicaceae.